This 71-nucleotide transfer RNA is filed under the name Loxodonta africana (African savanna elephant). It matches the Rfam family "tRNA". Rfam says of the family: Transfer RNA (tRNA) molecules are approximately 80 nucleotides in length. Lineage: Eukaryota; Metazoa; Chordata; Mammalia; Proboscidea; Elephantidae. The record is from Rfam by way of RNAcentral.
GCAUUGGUGGUUCAGUGGUAGAGUUCACGCCUUCUGUGUGGGAGACCUGGGUUCAAUUCCCAACCAAUACA